AUUUGACAAAAACAAGACAGAACGUUACACUAGAUGAUCUCAUGACAUUAACAGAUUAAUGAGUCUCGACAACGAACUUCACUCUAAAACUUAUUACCCGAAAGAAGAGCUCAACAACGCUCGAAAAACAUGGCAAGCAAAAGGGGAUUGAUCUUCAAAAGGACACUGUCUUGCUCAAACUUAGCAAAAGUUGAAGAACUGCGUAAAAUUGUAGAAAACAAUGUGUUCACUUCAACUGACGAGACCAAGCCCAUGUGCCUCUUCCGAUAUUCGGAGUAUACGAUUAGCUGCCCGACCAUGUCAAACUUUCCACGAGAUUUUCAAGAGAAUUUCGAGAGGGCGCUCAUUGAUGUGGAUAUGGAGAAGGGGCUUGAAGAUGGGGGUUCUCUUAACUGGUGUCGCACUGCAAAACGACUGAGACCACUGGCUACAAAAGAGGAUGGUAACUGUUUAACGCACGCUGUUUCUAUUGGGAUGUGGGGUUACCAUGACAGCAGCUUGUUCCUAAGGCGACUGAUUUACGUUGCCAUGCAGAAUGACGCCACUGGUAACCUGUUCAGAGAUCGAUGGCAAAAUGAGGCCAUGUCCAUGGAGAAUUCUUAUAGUUCUGUAACUGGACUGGACCUUGACGGAGAAUGGAUGAAGGUGAUCGAGAGAGCAAAUGACAAACCUAAUGAUGACCCACGAGCUCUUGAGAUGCCUUAUAAGGCAUUGGAAGAGAUACAUGUGUUUGUUCUUGCCAAUAUACUUCGCAGACCCAUAAUUAUAAUCUCUGACGUCAUGCUGCACUCUUUUACCGGUAGUGAUUUGGCCCCAUGUUCACUCGGUGGGGUGUAUCUCCCGUUGCUAUGGCAUGCGGAAGAUUGCUUCAAAACGCCAUUGACGCUCGCAUACGAUAUGAAUAGUUUCUCACCUUUGAUUGGCGAGGAAGAUAAUCCUAGAGAUGAAUAUCUUGCUACCGAAGCUGAACGUGCCAUACCUUUGAUAAGACAGAAUGGCGAGUGGUUAAAAAUUCACAUGUUGCUGCCCCAGGAAAAGGCACGCUUUCAAAAUAUUCUGGAAAAGUAUAUGUACGUAACGACACUAUUCCACACAACCAAGGACAAUGUCAAAGAAGUUAUUAGUGCAAAGCUGGAGUAUAAAGUUCUACCGGAUAAGCUCAACCUAAUGAAGGACUAUUUCCAAGACUGUGAACGGAUAUUUAAUGAAUCUACCGAUGAGGACAUUUAUAUGGAGGAGGAACCCAAACGGAUUGAUUCCUUAGAAUUGAAUGAGGUGUUAAGCCAGGAUUCUGACAAAGAAGACAUAUAUGAAGAGAGUAAGAUGUGCACCACUAAGAAUUGUGAAUUCUAUGGGAGUACCGCCACCAAGGGCAAGUGCACUAAAUGCUAUCUCGAGAGCACCAAAUUACCAGCAACGCCCGUAAAAAACGAUGAGACGUUGCGAAUGAGAAUCACUACCACUGCUUCCAAGCACAAUCCCGAUCCUUUAGCAGGCCCUAUGCCCGCUUCUAAAUUGACCCCCUAUGAGCCAAAUAUCAGAUUGAAUAAUCCAGACCGACCACAAGAUUUGCCAAUGUAUUCCAUGUUACCUACAGAAUGUGCUACUCAUGGAUGUCAUUAUAAUGCAUCAGUCCAUACUAAACCGUAUUGCCAUGAAUGCCAUGAUAGAAAACAAAAACCUGCUAAGCAUGGUACUCUUGACCUUGGAAACCAGAUCCCUAGUUCUCCAAGAAAAUCAAUCGUAAGGCAAGACAUGGAGCCCCAUAGCAACGAUAUGAAGAGCUUUGCGGUUGGGCAACCGAGUCAGGUAUGCAUGGUUGCACACUGCAAGAAUCCAUGUGAUGCUGAUCUUGAAGGAUUGUGCUCUUCACACAGGCAACAUUUUGUUAAGCCAAGUAAAACACAAGCACCGGUUGCUUUGACAACUAUCGCUGCUACCUUGGUAACUACGAGCUUUAGCAACAGGUGUAAACAUCCAGGUUGUUUCAACGUUCCCACAACUCAGUCAGGCUUUUGUGAAGUAUGUGAUCAUCAAGGCAACAGAAAUAUGUCGAGGUACGCUGCAGCAAAACCUACUGACUCCGUAAAGAAUAUUGUAUUCGAAGAUGUAAUUCCUCCAACGCUUGGACCGUGUAGGAAAAGUGGCUGCACCUUUACUGGUUCCGAAAGGUAUCGAGGGUACUGCUCCGUAUGCUACAAGAAACAUCGGUCAAAAAGACAUUCCAAUGGUUCAGCAAGCUCAAGCGGAUGUUCGACUCCUGACUGUGAAGGGGUACGCAUAGAACGAUCGCCAAUGUGCUAUUACUGUACGAAACAUACCAACCAAGGUCUGCCCGUCAUACCAAACCGUGGAAAAGAUGCUGGGACUCAGACAACUCCACCCAAGGAUCUUGGACGUAACAUCCAACCAUCUGGCUACGAUGCCAAAGCUUUUGAUAAGGAAGGUCUCACUGAUGAAUUAAGCCGUACGGUUGUAAGACACCAUUACAAGGAUUAUCCAAAGAAAGUAUGCGUCAGUCCUUUGUGUGAAAACGAAGUGAUGGUUGGUGCUGGUGAAAAUAAGUUGUGCCGAGAGUGUUUUCAAAUAUUGUGUGAUGACGCUGCCAAGAAAGCUGAAAGGAAAUCUUCUGCAGAAUUCACGGAACAAUCAAGAACAGCUGGUAAUCAAUCAAACGCGCCUAAGUGCAAAGGUCCCAGUUGUGAUAUGUUUGGUAGCGUUGAGACGAUGGGUUACUGUUCUAAAUGUUUCAAUGAAAUGAUAGCCGCACGUGACAGAGUCAAAACUUCCCCAGUUCGACAACCUUCUCAGCUUAACAGGCGUGGUGGAGACGAUCAAAUAUUUGUCCCAAUGGACAGUGACACAAGAAUUGCCACCGAGGGCGCAAGUCAGAGUCCUCUUAAGCACAGCGUCACGUACUACAAUCCAGCAAGAGUUAAUCUCUUCAACACUGAUGACUAUGACUCCAAGAUAUGCCCAGUUGAUGACUGUGACCGAUACGGCGAUGUUUGUUUUAAUGGCCUAUGUUCCUUGCAUUAUGACCCCAGUAGACCUGUAGUACAAAUAGGUAGAGAUAACGUUUUGCAUAUUAAGCCGAAAAGUCCCAGACUCAACAGACCGCCUGGGACUAGAUUCACAAGUGCUACCAAUGGUGAUAAUGAUGCGUACGUGCUCUAUCCUGACGUAAGGGGUAAACAAGAACGCUUACCCACACAACGCACGAGGAAACCCGAUGAACCAGCAAUUCAAAGACAAAUUGAAAACCAAGUCCAAAAGAUUAAAUGCCGUGAAAGACUUUGUGAGAACUAUGCCAGCAAAGAAAACAAUGGUUUUUGUAAUAGUUGCAAGAAAAGACUUGACAAAGGUUACUAAGUUUUAAAUUAACUACGAGAGUCUAUAUAUGAUAGAGUAAUUGACACGAUCAUAUGGUAUCAAAACUCAUUUCUCGGUCCUUAGCAUUUAAGAAAACUUGUACGUGAACGUGUAUACGAGUGGGACACGGGACAGUCAAUCACCCCUAGGGUUAAUAAUAUUACAUGUUCGCGUUCAUGUUUUUUUUAAAACAUGUAACUUAACUCCCUAUUAUCCGACUUGAUUAACCUCAAAUUAAACAACAAAAACAUUUAUUGGUUUAUACAUGUAGAUGUAGACAUUGUUAUUUAUCAUACUAUGUGCACACAACGGCACUUAUAAUUAUAUGUGCCAAGAUAAUUUAUAAAAAGCUUUGUGUCUGCUUGAUUUGAACGAGUUAAAACACUUACAGUUAGGGUGGUAGGCCCUGGUUGAUAAUGAGUUCACAUUUCCAGAAAAUUUCAAUGUCAUAGCAUAUUUUUAUGUAGAAUUGUAACUGAAACUAAAACCUAGUUGUGUUAAUGGUUUAACACCUCUGCUGUAUCGACGAAAUACACAUCAACAACAACAUGCACUGAAAUGAAACAGAGAGAUAUUCAAAAAACCACAAUGCUACAGAGAUACUUGUAUUUGAGUAUAUUUAACAAAAUGAGAUUGUAUACAAUAUUAAUAUUAAGCCAGACAGUUACACACCACAGGGAAAUAUAUCGUGGUAAGUCCGAUAUCUGAAAGAUCCUACGUUAUCUUUCCAAGAUCACGGCAUUAGGCCACAUCAUUCAUUUGCAUUUUGUGAAAAUUGAAGUUACGUUUGAUGAUCAUUUGUUUUUUAAUAUGGCUUUAUACAAAAAUGUAAAGCCUAGUUACAGUAUCAAUGCUUUAAGACCAAUGUACUAACCAUUGACCAUGGUACUGUACAUUUGACAUAACGAAGGGCUAGUUCUUUUUAAUUGAACACGAUGAGCAAUUUGGAAGAUCCGAUUACUUGUCUAAUCUUUCCUUAGAUAAAUAUUUAUCAGUCAUAAUAUAUUAAUACAUGAAAAAUAUUCAAUCAAAAAAAUUGUUGCUCAUUGUUUCUUUUAGAAU
This 4434-nucleotide unclassified non-coding RNA is filed under the name Owenia fusiformis. Its description in RNAcentral is "ubiquitinyl hydrolase 1". Lineage: Eukaryota; Metazoa; Annelida; Polychaeta; Sabellida; Oweniidae. The record is from RNAcentral.